UGGGCUGUAGCCAAGUGGUAAGGCACCCGUUUUUGAUAUGGGUUAUCAUGAGUUCGAAUCCCAUCAGCCCAA
This 72-nucleotide transfer RNA is filed under the name Phycisphaerales bacterium. RNAcentral's name for it is "tRNA-Gln". It matches the Rfam family "tRNA". From Rfam's summary of the family: Transfer RNA (tRNA) molecules are approximately 80 nucleotides in length. The record is from RNAcentral. Lineage: Bacteria; Pseudomonadati; Planctomycetota; Phycisphaerae; Phycisphaerales.